This 482-nucleotide ribosomal RNA is filed under the name uncultured bacterium. RNAcentral's name for it is "partial 16S ribosomal RNA". It matches the Rfam family "Bacterial small subunit ribosomal RNA", at positions 30 to 507 of the family's 1533-position model. The record is from RNAcentral.
AUUGAACGCUGGCGGCAUGCUUUACACAUGCAAGUCGAACGGUAACAGGCCGCAAGGUGCUGACGAGUGGCGAACGGGUGAGUAAUGCAUCGGAACGUGCCCAGUCGUGGGGGAUAACUACUCGAAAGAGUAGCUAAUACCGCAUACGAUCUAUGGAUGAAAGCGGGGGACCGUAAGGCCUCGCGCGAUUGGAGCGGCCGAUGUCAGAUUAGGUAGUUGGUGGGGUAAAGGCUCACCAAGCCAACGAUCUGUAGCUGGUCUGAGAGGACGACCAGCCACACUGGGACUGAGACACGGCCCAGACUCCUACGGGAGGCAGCAGUGGGGAAUUUUGGACAAUGGGCGCAAGCCUGAUCCAGCAAUGCCGCGUGCAGGAAGAAGGCCUUCGGGUUGUAAACUGCUUUUGUACGGAACGAAACGGCUCUGGUUAAUACACGGGGCUAAUGACGGUACCGUAAGAAUAAGCACCGGCUAACUACGUG